This is a long non-coding RNA of Silurus meridionalis, 604 nucleotides long. RefSeq lists it as uncharacterized. The transcript has 4 exons. The record is from RefSeq and is a predicted model, not a curated record. NCBI's taxonomy places the organism in Eukaryota, Metazoa, Chordata, Actinopteri, Siluriformes, Siluridae.
UCGAAUGCUGGACAUGGAUGAAAAUGUUCAGAAACGGAAUAUGACUGCUUUAAAAUCGCCACGAUACUGAUAGAGUAUGGAAGUGUAUAUAUACAAACACAAACAACACCUCUUUUGUGGACUUCCGUAAAUACGGUCUUGUUGCUAUGGUAACAGCUCCUCCACAGGGACGUGCACUGCUGCAGCUCCAUAUAAUCCGGACUGAAGCGCGUCAUCGCCUCGAGGUUUUCAACUGAAAACCACACAAACAUCUUUAUCAGACUGAAGCUCUUGCUCCAUCAUGCUGCUCGAAAGCGACAGGUUUACAAGGUUCUUUCUGAUCUCGGUGCUGAUCGGAGGAGCUUUGACUCUGCCCAUUGUAGAAAGAGAGAGGUUUCAGGAAGACACACCUCUAGACCUGCUGUUUGACCCAAAACCUGUUCAGGAUCAUUUCACUCCGGUGGAUGAUUACGGAGUGAAACCAGUUCCACCUCAUGUGCCGUCGUAUCUCCUCAGGGCAUGAGCUCUGACUAAUACAGGCUAAUGGAAGAUUUAUUCUAGUAACUCCAAACUCCACCAGUUUCUCAAAGAUGAGCCCUGAUCACAGUGCCACUGAGUUAAAGAU